RNAcentral lists this non-coding RNA (30 nucleotides) under Homo sapiens (human). The record is from RNAcentral. Lineage: Eukaryota; Metazoa; Chordata; Mammalia; Primates; Hominidae.
UCAUAGAAGCCUAGGAGUUCUAAGGGUGCA